Molecule: small nucleolar RNA, 71 nt
Organism: Myotis lucifugus (little brown bat)
Lineage: Eukaryota; Metazoa; Chordata; Mammalia; Chiroptera; Vespertilionidae
Product: small nucleolar RNA SNORD113/SNORD114 family
Source: Ensembl
AGGAUCAGUGGUGACGACUGGUGGCGAACGAGUCACAGAGAUGACUACAUGGCUGCAACUCUGAGGUCUGU